GUGGCGAACGGGUGAGUAACACGUGAGCAAUCUGCCCCUGACUCUGGGAUAAGCGUUGGAAACGACGUCUAAUACCGGAUACGAGCUACGACCGCAUGGUCGGUAGUUGGAAAGAAUUUUGGUCAGGGAUGAGCUCGCGGCCUAUCAGCUUGUUGGUGAGGUAAUGGCUCACCAAGGCGUCGACGGGUAGCCGGCCUGAGAGGGUGACCGGCCACACUGGGACUGAGACACGGCCCAGACUCCUACGGGAGGCAGCAGUGGGGAAUAUUGCACAAUGGGCGCAAGCCUGAUGCAGCAACGCCGCGUGAGGGACGACGGCCUUCGGGUUGUAAACCUCUUUUAGCGAGGAAGAAGCGAAAGUGACGGUACUCGCAGAAAAAGCACCGGCUAACUACGUGCCAGCAGCCGCGGUAAUACGUAGGGUGCAAGCGUUAUCCGGAAUUAUUGGGCGUAAAGAGCUCGUAGGCGGUUUGUCGCGUCUGCUGUGAAAUCUGGGGGCUCAACCCCCAGCCUGCAGUGGGUACGGGCAGACUAGAGUGCGGUAGGGGAGAUUGGAAUUCCUGGUGUAGCGGUGGAAU
This 578-nucleotide ribosomal RNA is filed under the name Microbacterium sp. CPCC203935. Its description in RNAcentral is "bacterial SSU rRNA". It matches the Rfam family "Bacterial small subunit ribosomal RNA", at positions 95 to 687 of the family's 1533-position model. RNAcentral also lists the same sequence under 1 other name. The record is from RNAcentral. Lineage: Bacteria; Bacillati; Actinomycetota; Actinomycetes; Micrococcales; Microbacteriaceae.